GACGAACGCUGGCGGCGUGCCUAACACAUGCAAGUCGAGCGAUGAAACCCUUCGGGGUGGAUUAGCGGCGGACGGGUGAGUAACACGUGGGUAACCUGCCUCAAAGAGGGGGAUAGCCUCCCGAAAGGGAGAUUAAUACCGCAUAAUAUUAUUUCUUCGCAUGAAGAGAUAAUCAAAGGAGUAAUCCGCUUUGAGAUGGACCCGCGGCGCAUUAGGUAGUUGGUGAGGUAAUGGCUCACCAAGGCGACGAUGCGUAGCCGACCUGAGAGGGUGAUCAGCCACAUUGGAACUGAGAUACGGUCCAGACUCCUACGGGAGGCAGCAGUGGGGAAUAUUGCGCAAUGGGGGAAACCCUGACGCAGCAACGCCGCGUGGGUGAAGAAGGCCUUCGGGUUGUAAAGCUCUGUCUUCUGGGACGAUAAUGACGGUACCAGAGGAGGAAGCCACGGCUAACUACGUGCCAGCCGCCACAGUAA
This 476-nucleotide ribosomal RNA is filed under the name uncultured bacterium. Its description in RNAcentral is "partial 16S ribosomal RNA". It matches the Rfam family "Bacterial small subunit ribosomal RNA", at positions 28 to 523 of the family's 1533-position model. The record is from RNAcentral.